GUGGGGUUGUGGGUCAGUGGUACAAUGCUUGCCUACCAUGCAUGAGGCACUGGAUUCGAUCCUCAGCACCACA
Molecule: transfer RNA, 73 nt
Filed under: Marmota monax (woodchuck)
Lineage: Eukaryota; Metazoa; Chordata; Mammalia; Rodentia; Sciuridae
Description: tRNA.Gly
Source: RNAcentral